This 406-nucleotide ribosomal RNA is filed under the name uncultured bacterium. RNAcentral's name for it is "partial 16S ribosomal RNA". It matches the Rfam family "Bacterial small subunit ribosomal RNA", at positions 30 to 526 of the family's 1533-position model. The record is from RNAcentral.
AUUGAACGCUGUCGGCCGGCCUAACACAUGCAAGUCGAACGAGUGGCGGACGGGUGAGUAAUGUCUGGGAAACUGCCUGAUGGAGGGGGAUAACUACUGGAAACGGUAUCUAAUACCGCAUACCAUCAGAUGUGCCCAGAUGGGAUUGUCUUGUUGGUGGGGUCAAGGCUCGCCAAAGCGACGAUCCCUAGCUGGUCUGCGAGGAUGACCAGCGACACUGGAACUUAGAAACGGUCCAGACUCCUACGUGAGGCAGCAGGGGGGAAGAGUGAACAAUGGGCGCAAGCCUGAUGCAGCCAUGCCGCGUGUAUGAAGGAGGCCUUCGGGUUGUAAAGUACGUUCAGCGGGGAGGCGUUACCCGCAGAAGAAGCACCGGCUAACUCCGGGCCAGCAGCCGCGGUAAUAC